ACCCAGCUGACGAGUCCCAAAUCGAACGAAACGCGUGUCUUGAAU
RNAcentral lists this non-coding RNA (45 nucleotides) under Schistosoma curassoni. The record is from RNAcentral. Lineage: Eukaryota; Metazoa; Platyhelminthes; Trematoda; Strigeidida; Schistosomatidae.